This 775-nucleotide ribosomal RNA is filed under the name uncultured Neocallimastigales. RNAcentral describes it as "partial large subunit ribosomal RNA". It matches the Rfam family "Eukaryotic large subunit ribosomal RNA", at positions 24 to 633 of the family's 3401-position model. Lineage: Eukaryota; Fungi; Neocallimastigomycota; Neocallimastigomycetes; Neocallimastigales. The record is from RNAcentral.
UAUGUGAUCGUCUCUCGCAUAUCAAUAAGCGGAGGAAAAGAAACUAACAAGGAUUCCCCUAGUAACGGCGAGUGAAGCGGGAAGAGCUCAAAUUUGAAAUCUUAAAGGGUUUCCCUUUACGAAUUGUAGUUUAAAGAAGUGUUUUCUGUUGAGGUUUUGGUAAAAGUUCUUUGGAAUAGGACAUCAUAGAGGGUGAGAAUCCCGUAUUUGACCUUUACUUUCAACUUUGUGAUACACUUUCAAAGAGUCGGAUUGUUUGGGAAUGCAGUCCAAAAUGGGUGGUAAAUUUCAUCUAAAGCUAAAUAUUGGCGAGUAGACCGAUAGCGAACAAGUACCGUGAGGGAAAGAUGAAAAGAACUUUGAAAAGAGAGUUAAACAGUACGUGAAAUUGUCAAAAGGGAAGCGUUUGACACCAGUGUUGUUUUUCUGAAAAUCAAUUAAAGAACUGUUUAUGCUAAGCUGUUUAGACUUUAUCAGCUAUCUGUUUAGUUUUGAGCUUUUCUUUAAUGCACUUUUCAGUUAACAAGUCAACAUCAAUUUCUUUUGCUGUAAAAAAGCUUGAGGAAGGUGGCUUGAGAUUCGUCUUAAGUGUUUAUAGCCUCUUGCCUAUGCAGUCGGAGAGAUUGAGGUCUGCAGCGUAGAUCCUUCGGGGCUAAAUGCAUUUGUGCUGAGUUAUAGCAUUUUAUAGACAACUUGUUGACUAUGAUUUGUCUUGUAGCUUACUCGCUUAUGUUAUUUUACCUACGCUUAGGAUGUUGAAGACUCUACAGAGAUA